GGAAGGAUCAUUAACACUAAUCCAAUCAACUCAACUUAGCCUUCAGUUGCAGUGGUCGCAUGUGCUAGCUUCGGCAGGCUAUUGCUAUCACUGCAGCAACUACAAAUCUAAUUACGCAAAGGAGCUUAACUAAGCUAUUACAUAAAACCAAAUUCUCAACGAUGGAUAUCUUGGUUCCCAUAACGAUGAAGAACGCAGCGAAGUGCGAUAAGCAAUGCGAAUUGCAGAACCGUGAGUCAUCAGAUUUUUGAACGCAACUGGCGCUAGUUGGCUAUCCAGCUAGCAUGCUUGUUUCAGUGUCUCUUUUUCUCCUCACCCAAAUCAUAAUGCGAUAGAUACCCUUCUAUUGCUAAGCAUGAAAGCACUCUGCACUCUGCGAGCGAUUUCGUUUCGAGGUCGCACUCAAUGCAGCAGUCACAUUGUUACAAUGUGAACUCAUUGAGAGUAGAGGCAGUGCAGGCAACUGCGAGUGCUUAGACACUUAAACUUUUUUUGUAUCUGAAAUCAAGCAGGAUUACCCGCUGAACUUAAGCAUAUCACUAAGCGGAGGAGAAGAAAUUAACUAAGAUUGCCUCAGUAACGGCGAGUGAAGCGGCAAAAGCCCAAAAUGGAAAUCUUGUACAAUAAUGUGCACGAAUUGUAAUCUAUAGGUUGUCUACUCAACGGGUGGUGACGCAGAAGUUUCCUCGAACGGAACGCCAAAGAGGGUGACAGCCCCGUAUGUGGUGUCGCCGCCUAACGAGUGGGUUUCCGAAGAGUCGGGUUGUUUUGUAUUGCAGCCCUAAGUGGGAGAUAAACUUCUUCUAAGGCUAAAUAUAUAUGGGAAACCGAUAGCGAACAAGUACUGUGAAGGAAAGAUGAAAAGAACUUUGAAAAGAGAGUCAAAAGACUUGAAAUCGUUGAGAAGGAAGCGGUAGAAAUUAAUUCUUCGUUGUAGUACUGUGUGAUCAUCUAACCAUUGCGGGUGGAGAGCACUGCAAAGGCUCUUAUUUGCACUUGGGGAAGUGAGCAGCUUGUACUGCAGCGUGAGGCAAAAUGGGGUCUUUGUACAGCAAAGGCUUUUCACGACUGGCUGCCUUCGGGCGGUAGCGUGGAUGUGCUGGCUGUAUGAGGGCCUGAGGAAGCUUCGUGCGAUUUUGCCAAAAUGGUUUUUACCGACCCGUCUUGAAACACGGACCAAGGAGUCUAACAAAUAUGCGAGUGUGCUGGUGGAAAAACCAACACGCGUAAUGAAAGUGAUCGAUGCCAAGCGCAAGCGGCAGCAUCGACCGACCAUGAUCCUCCGGUGAAAGGUUUGAGUAUGAGCAUAUCUGUUAGGACCCGAAAGAUGGUGAACUAUGCCUGAGUAGGGUGAAGUCAGGGGAAACUCUGAUGGAGGCUCGUAGCGGUUCUAACGUGCAAAUUGAUCGUCAAACUUGGGUAUAGGGGCGAAAGACUAAUCGAACCAUCUAGUAGCUGGUUCCCUC
This 1466-nucleotide unclassified non-coding RNA is filed under the name uncultured fungus. RNAcentral describes it as "sequence contains 18S rRNA gene, ITS1, 5.8S rRNA gene, ITS2, 28S rRNA gene". The stretch from base 495 to 1466 matches the Rfam family "Eukaryotic large subunit ribosomal RNA", at positions 1 to 961 of the family's 3401-position model. Lineage: Eukaryota; Fungi. The record is from RNAcentral.